CGUUAAGAAGCUAAUUAGCGCUAACCUUUUAAGUUAGAUAUUGGAAGUUUGAGCCUUCCCUUAAUGA
Molecule: transfer RNA, 67 nt
Filed under: Lasiurus borealis (red bat)
Lineage: Eukaryota; Metazoa; Chordata; Mammalia; Chiroptera; Vespertilionidae
Description: tRNA-Lys
Source: RNAcentral